This 93-nucleotide microRNA precursor is filed under the name Tupaia belangeri (northern tree shrew). RNAcentral describes it as "miRNA (ENSTBEG00000020724.1)". The record is from RNAcentral. Lineage: Eukaryota; Metazoa; Chordata; Mammalia; Scandentia; Tupaiidae.
AUCACCUGAGACUCUGUUAAAAUGCAGAUUCUGAUUCAGUAGUCCACAGUGGUGCCUGAGAUGCUUCAUUUCUAACAAGUUCCCAGGUGAUGC